This 180-nucleotide unclassified non-coding RNA is filed under the name uncultured Trichocomaceae. RNAcentral describes it as "sequence contains ITS1". Lineage: Eukaryota; Fungi; Ascomycota; Eurotiomycetes; Eurotiales; Trichocomaceae. The record is from RNAcentral.
CCGAGUGAGGGUCCCUUGACCCAAUCUCCCACCCGUGUUUUAACUAUACUGUGUUGCUUCGGCGGGCCCACUGGGCCCUUGUUCCCGGUCGCUGGGGGGGAAACCCCCGGGCCCGUGCCCGCCGGAGACCCUAGAAACUCCUGUCUGAAUGAGUUGGUCUGAGCAAGAAUGAUAAUUAUA